RNAcentral lists this long non-coding RNA (362 nucleotides) under Homo sapiens (human). Its description in RNAcentral is "non-protein coding lnc-FAM229A-1:4". The record is from RNAcentral. Lineage: Eukaryota; Metazoa; Chordata; Mammalia; Primates; Hominidae.
UUCCCCAUUGAGGCCGGAGACUCCCGUGGCCUUGCCGCCGCCCCCGAGUCCCAGGACAGCCCGGAGGCGGUAGCGACGGAGCACAACCCGGUCAGCGGCCCCUGUCGCGCGUCAAUUUCCCCAGGCCGCUUCGUCGCUGCCCUGGAUGCCACUGCCUGACGCUGCUGCACGUGCCCAUCGACGUCUACCUCGCCAUGGGCGGGAGCCCCCGGGCCCGCGCCACGUGAGUGCGCCUGCUCCCUGCGGCUCCGCGGGAGCUGGGCGGGAACGAGGCCCCCAGCGGGCCACCACGCUGAGGUCGCAUGCGCCGAGCACGAGACAAUGAUGCACAUUUUAAAAUAAAAGAAUGAUGCACAUUUUAA